GACGAACGCUGGCGGCGUGCCUAAUACAUGCAAGUAGAACGCUGAAGGAGGAGCUUUCUUCUCUGGAUGAGUUGCGAACGGGUGAGUAACGCGUAGGUAACCUGCCUGUUAGCGGGGGAUAACUAUUGGAAACGAUAGCUAAUACCGCAUAAUAGUAGAUGUUGCAUGACAUUUGCUUAAAAGGUGCAAUUGCAUCGCUACCAGAUGGACCUUCGGUGUAUUAUCUGGUUGGUGAGGUAACGGCUCACCAAGGCAACGAUACAGAGCCGACCUGAGAGGGUGGUCGGCCACACUGGGACUGAGACACGGCCCAGACUCCCACGGGAAGCCGCAGUAGGGAAACUUCGGCAAGGGACGGAAGUCUGGCCGAGAAACGCCGCGUGAGGGAAGAAGGUUGUCGGGUCGGAAAGCUCUGUUGUAAGGGAAGAACGAGUGUGAGAGUGGAAAGUUCACACUGUGACGGUAUCUGAUCAGAAAGCGACGGCUAACUACGUG
Molecule: ribosomal RNA, 495 nt
Filed under: uncultured bacterium
Lineage: Bacteria
Description: partial 16S ribosomal RNA
Rfam family: Bacterial small subunit ribosomal RNA
Source: RNAcentral